GUGUGUCUGUGUGUAGAGGUCCAAAAUCAGAAAUCCUAAUGUAGAACAGACUUACACAACACUGCAAAGCGAACCACAAAUCGACAACACCAAACAAUCAGAACUUCUAACAGGUGAACAACAUAAACAGCUGUGACGAUAUAUAAAUGUAAACAACAAAGAUCGGGUUCGGUUCCGGACCCAGCGUACCCGCCCUACCAUGAGGCGAUUACCUACUCCCACAUUUGGCCAUUAGAUGGCCUGCAUCAGCCUGUGCCGGCUGUUAUCCAACUCUCCCCAUCAAUGCAAAUUUAGCCUGACAUUUGUCUAUUCAGGAAGGGAUAUCUCCAAGCUGAUAUUUAUAAAUAAGUACACGCGAACAUUUCGGGAAUUUUAAACGAGUAUCGCAUCACUUAAAGCAAACGGAUACUUCUCUCAACUUCCCUUCAACAGGUGCCUAUAACGUGUUGCAUCAUUUCAUAUUCAUGACAAAUUAUAUUUAUCUUUAAAAUUUUAAAUUUAGUACAAAAUGCAUUGUUUUACAUAUACAUUUAUACGGAACAUGAGACGAAAACACGGUCAAAACUUA
Drosophila virilis is the source of this 568-nucleotide non-coding RNA. The record is from RefSeq and is a predicted model, not a curated record. NCBI's taxonomy places the organism in Eukaryota, Metazoa, Arthropoda, Insecta, Diptera, Drosophilidae.